UACGUAGGGAGCAAGCGUUGUCCGGAAUCAUUGGGCGUAAAGCGCGCGUAGGUGGCCUCGUAAGUCCGCUGUGAAAGUCAAAGGCUCAACCUUUGAAAGCCGGUGGAUACUGUGAGGCUAGAGUACGGAAGAGGCGAGUGGAAUUCCUGGUGUAGCGGUGGAAUGCGCAGAUAUCAGGAGGAACACCGGUGGCGAAGGCGGAUCUCUGGGCCUUACCUGACGCUCAGGCGCGAAAGCUAGGGGAGCGAACAGG
RNAcentral lists this ribosomal RNA (253 nucleotides) under uncultured bacterium. RNAcentral's name for it is "partial 16S ribosomal RNA". It matches the Rfam family "Bacterial small subunit ribosomal RNA", at positions 524 to 776 of the family's 1533-position model. The record is from RNAcentral.